CCUAAACUGAUGAAUGAUUUGACAGAAGAGUUCUUGAAGACUAUAUUCAUCACCCAAGACUGAAAAAGGCUUA
This is a small nucleolar RNA of Drosophila hydei, 73 nucleotides long. RefSeq annotates it as small nucleolar RNA CD11. The transcript has a single exon. The record is from RefSeq and is a predicted model, not a curated record. Lineage: Eukaryota; Metazoa; Arthropoda; Insecta; Diptera; Drosophilidae.